AACAUGUAAAACGUCUCAGCAUUUUAGGGUUUUGAUGUUGUUCUGCAGUCUUUAAACACAUUCUCAGAUGAAAUUGAAGUGAAACAAUAGGCAGUAUUGGAGACAUCAAUGGCGAAACGAAACCUUCUGAAACGAACCCAAGCACCAAUUCUGCACAUGCCGAGACUCAGCCCUUUGAAUUUGAUUCUCAGUUUCUCGAUUCUCCUUUUUCUGGAGAUGAUAUUGAGAAUGGUGGUGAAUUAAACUUUCUACAAGAUACGGUUCCUGUAGAUAAUAACAAUUUUCCAAUUGAGGAUGAAUUUGACUCUCAGUUUCCCGAUUCUACUUUUUGUCUUGACAGAGAUGAUAAUGAGGAUGAUGAUGGUGAUGAUGAAUUAAAGUUUCUACAAAAUACAGUUUCUGUAGAUCAUAAUAAUGUUCCAAUUGAGGAUGAGUUCGAGACUCAAUGUCUGAACCUUGGUGAGGAAACUCAAAUGUUGAACUUUGGCGACGAAACACAAGUGUUGGAUGAUUUAGAUUGCUGCGAGAAUACGGAGACCCAGUUGUUGGAUGAAUUCGAUGGCGGCGCUUCUCUUGAAAGUGAAGGUGAAGGAACAGAUGAAACCGAGGUUUUGGAUGAUGGUGAUGAGGUCUCAGGUGAUGACGUAGUA
Long non-coding RNA from Hibiscus syriacus, 650 nucleotides. RefSeq lists it as uncharacterized. The record is from RefSeq and is a predicted model, not a curated record. NCBI's taxonomy places the organism in Eukaryota, Viridiplantae, Streptophyta, Magnoliopsida, Malvales, Malvaceae. The transcript has 3 exons.